Non-coding RNA from Ameiurus melas (black bullhead), 72 nucleotides. NCBI's taxonomy places the organism in Eukaryota, Metazoa, Chordata, Actinopteri, Siluriformes, Ictaluridae. The record is from the annotation of a GenBank genome assembly.
GGCAUGGUGGCGCAGUGGAUAGCAUGUUUGUCUCGUGCCUCUGGGGUCGGGGGUUUGAUUCCACCCUAUCUG